This 76-nucleotide transfer RNA is filed under the name Chloracidobacterium thermophilum. RNAcentral describes it as "tRNA-Trp". It matches the Rfam family "tRNA". From Rfam's summary of the family: Transfer RNA (tRNA) molecules are approximately 80 nucleotides in length. Their secondary structure includes four short double-helical elements and three loops (D, anti-codon, and T loops). Lineage: Bacteria; Pseudomonadati; Acidobacteriota; Blastocatellia; Chloracidobacteriales; Chloracidobacteriaceae. RNAcentral also lists the same sequence under 8 other names. The record is from RNAcentral.
AGGGGUAUGGUGUCAAUGGUCAGCACGUCGGUCUCCAAAACCGAAAGUACGGGUUCGACUCCUGUUACCCCUGCCA